Molecule: ribosomal RNA, 270 nt
Filed under: uncultured bacterium
Lineage: Bacteria
Description: partial 16S ribosomal RNA
Source: RNAcentral
CUGCUGCCUCCCGUAGGAGUUUGGACCGUGUCUCAGUUCCAAUGUGGGGGACCUUCCUCUCAGAACCCCUACGCAUCGUCGGCUUGGUGGGCCGUUGCCCCACCAACUACCUAAUGCGCCGCAUGCCCAUCCGUGACCGGGGUCGCCCCUUUGGCCGGCAGGGGAUGUCCCCUCCCGGCAUCAUGUUGUAUUAGGCGGGAUUUCUCCCGGUUAUCCAUCUGUCACGGCCAGGUUGCAUACGUGUUACUCACCCGUGCGCCGGUCGCCGGG